AACGAACGCUGGCGGCGCGCCUAAUACAUGCAAGUCGAGCGAGAAGACGUAGCAAUACGUUUGUAAGGCGGCGAACGGGUGAGGAACACAUGGGUAACCUACCCUAGAGUGGGGAAUAACUAGCCGAAAGGUUAGCUAAUACCGCGUACGCUCCUUGGACUUCGGUACAGGGAGGAAAGCGAUACCGUGGGUAUCGCGCUCUUGGAUGGGCUCAUGUCCUAUCAGCUUGUUGGUGAGGAACGGCUCACCAAGGCUUCGACGGGUAGCUGGUCUGAGAGGACGAUCAGCCACACUGGCACUGCGACACGGGCCAGACUCCUACGGGAGGCAGCAGUAAGGAAUAUUGCGCAAUGGGCGAAAGCCUGACGCAGCGACGCCGCGUGGGGGA
This 388-nucleotide ribosomal RNA is filed under the name uncultured bacterium. RNAcentral describes it as "bacterial SSU rRNA". It matches the Rfam family "Bacterial small subunit ribosomal RNA", at positions 29 to 408 of the family's 1533-position model. The record is from RNAcentral.